GACGUAGGUGGCGAACGUUAUCCGGAAUUAUUGGGCGUAAAGGGUGCGUAGGUGGCCUGACAAGUUAUCAGUGGCAAAUCGAGGCUCAACCUCGUGGAAACUGGUAAUACUGUUCGGCUUGAGUACAGGAGAGGUUAACGGAACUCUAUGUGGAGCGGUAAAAUGCACAGAUAUAUGGAAGAACAUCAAUAAAGGCGAAGGCAGUUAACUAUUCUGUUACUGACGCUGAGGCACGGAAGCGUGGGGAGCAAAACGG
RNAcentral lists this ribosomal RNA (256 nucleotides) under uncultured bacterium. RNAcentral describes it as "partial 16S ribosomal RNA". It matches the Rfam family "Bacterial small subunit ribosomal RNA", at positions 524 to 776 of the family's 1533-position model. The record is from RNAcentral.